CCUACGGGUGGCUGCAGUGGGGAAUAUUGCACAAUGGGGGAAACCCUGAUGCAGCGACGCCGCGUGAAGGAAGAAGGAUUUCGGUAUGUAAACUUCUAGCAGCAGGGAAGAAAAUGACGGUACCUGACAAAGAAGCCCCGGCUAACUACGUGCAAGCAGCCGCGGUAAUAAGUAGGGGGCAAGCGUUAUCCGGAUUUACUGGGUGUAAAGGGAGCGUAGGCGGCGAUGCAAGUCAGAAGUGAAAGACCGGGGCUCAACUCUGGGACUGCUUUUGAAACUGUGUUGCUAGAUUGCAGGAGAGGUAAGUGGAAUUCCUAGUGUAGCGGUGAAAUGCGUAGAGAUUAGGAGGAACACCAGUGGCGAAGGCGGCUUACUGGACUAUAAAUGACGCUGAGGCUCGAAAGCGUGGGGAGCAAACAGGAUUAGAUACCCCUGUAGUC
RNAcentral lists this ribosomal RNA (440 nucleotides) under uncultured bacterium. Its description in RNAcentral is "partial 16S ribosomal RNA". It matches the Rfam family "Bacterial small subunit ribosomal RNA", at positions 338 to 795 of the family's 1533-position model. The record is from RNAcentral.